Molecule: ribosomal RNA, 497 nt
Filed under: uncultured bacterium
Lineage: Bacteria
Description: partial 16S ribosomal RNA
Rfam family: Bacterial small subunit ribosomal RNA
Source: RNAcentral
GAUGAACGCUGGCGGCGUGCCUAAUACAUGCAAGUCGAGCGAACGCACGAUAAGCUUGCUCCUCUGAUGUUAGCGACGGACGGGUGAGUAACACGUGCAUAACCUACUUAUAAUACUGGGAGAACUUCGGGAAACCGGAGCUAAUACUGGCUAAUAUUUUGAACCGCAUGGUUCAAAAGUGAAUGACGGUCUUGCUGUCACUAAGAGAUGGAUCCGCGCUGCAUUAGCUAGUUGGUAAGGUAACGGCUUACCAAGGCAACGAUGCAUAGCCGACCUGAGAGGGUGAUCGGCCACACUGGAACUGAGACACGGUCCAGACUCCUACGGGAGGCAGCAGUAGGGAAUCUUACGCAAUGGGCGAAAGCCUGACGGAGCGAUGCCGCGUGAGUGAUGAAGGUCUUCGGAUCGUAAAGCUCUGUUAUUAGGGAAGAACAUAUGUAUAAGUAAAUGUGGACAUCUUGACGGUACCUAAUGAGAAAGCCACGGCUAACUACGUG